UUAAAAUUGGAAAAACCCUAAUUUGAAGUCACAGAACCUCUUCGACUCUUUCCUCUUGGUUUUCUCAUCUUCUGACUCUUCUCAUCAUCUAAACUCAGCUGCCGGCGCUUAUUGUCUCCCCGCAGCUGGCACCGGAGCAGGCAGCUGGCACUGCAGUUGCGUAUCUUCCGCCGCCACCACAAGCGCGUCGAGUCUCUGGUCGUAGCUUCGCCUCUUUGGAUCGUAGUCGCACCGCCGCUCUGUUCCGCCGUCUUUUGUUCUGCCGUCCGCCUUUCCUUGUCGUGACCAGCUCUGUUCUUCUCUGUUCUCUGGGUACCCUCGCCUUUCCUCAAGCAAUGACACAAGGACGAGGCUUACAUUUGUCACAUUGGGGAAGUUGAAGGGGAGGUUUUCAUUGGCCAAGAAGCCAAAACCAAGAAACAAGCAUACAUGAGUGCAGCAAAUGUUGUUUUUUCAAUCUUAAAAGGGAACAUAGUUCUUUUAAGAUUGGAAAAUCAACAUUUGCUGCACCCAAAUCUAAGGGAAGCAAAGGUUUUUUUUCCCAAAGUUAGGAGUGGACUCGAACCCGCGACCUCUAGGUGGCGCAGGUAGGGAGAAGACUUCCUCCGGCAUCACAAAACCGGAGAGGGUUAAAGGAGAGAAAGACAGUAAGAGACAAAGACGCUAGAUCAAGAGAGAGAGGAAGAGGAAUGAGGCUACAACGGUGAUGGUGGCCAUCGCCGCUGUUGGUUCCGCAGUCCUCCGUAUAAUGGCUUCGUAGUCCUUCCUUCGCGGGCGGCAGCGGGUUCUGCGAAUGCGAUGACCCAGUUACUUACGACGGUGUACUUCAGUGAUCUGGACGUGCUCCUAUGGAGUUUUGAUUCUGAUGAACAUAGCAGCGCUUCCAUAGCAAUGCUAAGGAAAUUGGCUUCAUUAAGGGUCUCCUCCCACGUUUCCAUCAAAACAGAGAUGAAGAAAACAUGACGGUGAAGAGCGGAAGCACGAGAGAAGAAGGAGAAACAUCCUUAUUUCAGUAAUUGAUUGGACUUCAUGCUUUCAUGCCUGAGCCAGCUCAAGAGGAGAUCUUCUCCCUUUGGGAACAAGUUGUUGUUGCCUGUAUGAAGUUUAAUUCUGCAAACUAAGAUCAAGGAGAAGCUAGUGGAAGGUGAAAACAAGAUCAAGUGCAAAAUGAGGACUUUAAUUGUAAGUUCUGGAGAAAACUUAUGCUGGGGAGGCUUACCCUUUAGAAGCAGUGCAAGGGAGUUAUUUUGAUCAUACUUUCGAGUAUUGGGCUUUUUCUUAUUGGAAAAAGGAGAAGUUAAUGGAUCC
Non-coding RNA from Arachis ipaensis, 1308 nucleotides. Lineage: Eukaryota; Viridiplantae; Streptophyta; Magnoliopsida; Fabales; Fabaceae. The record is from RefSeq and is a predicted model, not a curated record.